This is a long non-coding RNA of Neltuma alba, 454 nucleotides long. RefSeq lists it as uncharacterized. The record is from RefSeq and is a predicted model, not a curated record. The transcript is spliced from 3 exons. NCBI's taxonomy places the organism in Eukaryota, Viridiplantae, Streptophyta, Magnoliopsida, Fabales, Fabaceae.
GCACAAUUAAAGGCAUUUUGAGCCAUAUUUUCUCUCCUUCACGGUUACAUCUAGUUAAUUUCAGAAAGGAGAACUCUUGGGCCUACAUAGAAGAGGGGAUUGAGGAGUGAACUUAUCUCAAGGUUUUAUAAACCAAAACCAUUUAAAGGUGGGAGCACAAGAGAUAGCACUCCAGACUCUGUAUUACCAGCUGAGCCGUGAAGAGCCUUGUCAAAGAUCCAGAGCAUGUAAUUUUAUUUUGAGUAAUUGCUAGCUAAUGUAACCACAAGAGUACUCGUAUGUCUUUAUUUUGUUAGUUAGAUGCUCCACGUAAUCUUGGGUUAGGUCCUAGUCUUUUGGGUUAUUUUGGAAUGUAAUUAUAUACAUUGGUAUCGGGGAGCAGACCUCCAAAUUUUAUUCAAAAAGAAAUGUGCUAGCAGAUGAUGGGUUUUAUUCAAAGAGAUCCUUUUGUUUA